This 254-nucleotide ribosomal RNA is filed under the name uncultured bacterium. RNAcentral's name for it is "partial 16S ribosomal RNA". It matches the Rfam family "Bacterial small subunit ribosomal RNA", at positions 524 to 776 of the family's 1533-position model. The record is from RNAcentral.
UACGAAGGGGGCAAGCGUUGUUCGGAUUUACUGGGCGUAAAGGGCGCGUAGGCGGCCACCGCAAGUCGACUGUGAAAUCUCCGGGCUUAACCCGGAAAGGUCAGCCGAUACUGCGGGGCUAGAGUGCAGAAGGGGCAACUGGAAUUCUCGGUGUAGCGGUGAAAUGCGUAGAUAUCGAGAGGAACACCUGCGGCGAAGGCGGGUUGCUGGGCUGACACUGACGCUGAUGCGCGAAAGCUAGGGGAGCGAACGGG